GGGCCAUAGCUCAGCGGUCCAGAACAUCUGCUUCUAGUGCAGAAGGUCUCAGGUUCAAUCCCUGGCAUCUCCA
Molecule: non-coding RNA, 73 nt
Organism: Podarcis lilfordi (Lilford's wall lizard)
Lineage: Eukaryota; Metazoa; Chordata; Lepidosauria; Squamata; Lacertidae
Source: the annotation of a GenBank genome assembly